Molecule: long non-coding RNA, 1020 nt
Organism: Prionailurus viverrinus (fishing cat)
Lineage: Eukaryota; Metazoa; Chordata; Mammalia; Carnivora; Felidae
Exons: 4
Source: RefSeq, a predicted model, not a curated record
AGCCCAGUAAUCUAUACAAUGUACACUGGAAAGCAAAGCUAGAGAUACAUAUUUACUGAAUUUGUCAUUCAGCAAGAUUCAGCUCCCAGUGUGGAGAAGCAUUAUUCGGUAGAAGAGUGCUGACAAGUGGAAUGGUUGCUAAUUACUGCAAUUGACUGAAAGAACAAAACAUGUAUUCCCCCAGAACAAUGCCUCUUAUAGUGGACAUUCAGAGAAUAUUUGUUGGAUAAAUGAACUUGUUGAAUGAAGAAAGCACUACCUGUCAGUUGUUGGAGAAAUUUAAGAUCUCAGGGUACAACCUAUCCACACAGAGGAAAAUACUGAUGGGCCUUCCUUGUCACAUGGUGAUGGUGACUGGAAUCACAGAAAUGGUGUCUAGAAGAAAAUAGAGGGCAAGAUGGAGUCACUUACAUCAAGCAGUGACUCAUGUCAGGCAACCAAGAGCGUUGCAGCUAAGACCAGAUGGUGCUGAAACCGGCACAGACUGAUGAUGCCCAGAACUGACGACCAGCAGAACCUGAAGAGGCCUCGAAUGGCCCAAGGCUGAUUAAACUCCUUUAAAAAGGGGUGACUUUUGCAGCAAACUGUCAGACUCUCCAGACACUAACCCUUUCCCAUCUGACCACACUGAAAAGGCAACUGGUGCCAAAGCUCUGGCUGACUGGUCUCUGAGCAUAGCAGAGAUCCUCCACUGCUAGAAUAUAAUAAGCAGUAUGCACGGAGAGCUGACCAGACCAGACUGAGGCCUCAUCUCUACUAGGCAUUCAUAGAUGGACUUUGAGUUGGGUUUCUCAACUUCUCACCUCUUGCUGUAUCUUGUUUGUAGUGUGCUUUACUUUGUGUGAUAUGUAUGAAACCAAGUUAAAUGUGUAACAAAAUGGCAUUGAGUUUGGAAUCUUGGACCUGCUUUACAAUUAUGUUAGCCUUGUUUUGUGAUUGAAUAAAGCUAACACUGUGGAAAGACACAACUCAUGUCUGUGCACUCAUAAUGUGCUUGUGACAAACAUAUAUAUAAAUAAA